AGACGUAGGGGGCGAGCGUUGUCCGGAAUUACUGGGCGUAAAGAGCACGUAGGCGGAUAUUUAAGUCAGGUGUGAAAGACCGCAGCUCAACUGCGGGGUUGCACCUGAAACUGGGUAUCUUGAGGGCAGGAGAGGGAAGUGGAAUUCCUGGUGUAGCGGUGAAAUGCGUAGAAAUCAGGAGGAACACCAGUGGCGAAGGCGACUUUCUGGACUGACCCUGACGCUGAGGUGCGAAAGCGUGGGUAGCAAACAGGAUUAGAUACCCUGGUAGUCCACGCCGUAAACGAUGGAUACUAGGUGUAGGAGGUAUCGACCCCUUCUGUGCCGCAGCUAACGCAAUAAGUACUCCGCCUGGGAAGUAUGAUCGCAAGAUUAAA
RNAcentral lists this ribosomal RNA (377 nucleotides) under uncultured bacterium. RNAcentral describes it as "bacterial SSU rRNA". It matches the Rfam family "Bacterial small subunit ribosomal RNA", at positions 523 to 898 of the family's 1533-position model. The record is from RNAcentral.